CAGUUUUUACCGCCGGGUAAGAAUUUAUGCGUCAGGCUUUCUAUCGAUAGGCCAUAGAAGAUAGAAAGGCUGGCGUUUUUUGUGC
RNAcentral lists this non-coding RNA (85 nucleotides) under unclassified sequences. The record is from RNAcentral.